Molecule: ribosomal RNA, 513 nt
Filed under: uncultured bacterium
Lineage: Bacteria
Description: partial 16S ribosomal RNA
Rfam family: Bacterial small subunit ribosomal RNA
Source: RNAcentral
GACGAACGCUGGCGGCGUGCCUAAUACAUGCAAGUAGAACGCUGAAGACUUUGGCUUGCUAAAGUUGGAAGAGUUGCGAACGGGUGAGUAACGCGUAGGUAACCUGCCUACUAGCGGGGGAUAACUAUUGGAAACGAUAGCUAAUACCGCAUAACAGCAUUUAACCCAUGUUAGAUGCUUGAAAGGAGCAAUUGCUUCACUAGUAGAUGGACAUGCGUUGUAUUAGCUAGUUGGUGAGGUAACGGCUCACCAAGGCGACGAUACAUAGCCGACCUGAGAGGGUGAUCGGCCACACUGGGACUGAGACACGGCCCAGACUCCUACGGGAGGCAGCAGUAGGGAAUCUUCGGCAAUGGGGGCAACCCUGACCGAGCAACGCCGCGUGAGUGAAGAAGGUUUUCGGAUCGUAAAGCUCUGUUGUAAGAGAAGAACGUGUGUGAGAGUGGAAAGUUCACACAGUGACGGUAACUUACCAGAAAGGGACGGCUAACUACGUGCCAGCCGCCGCCGUAA